UGAUGGAGCCGAAAACCUAUGGGGUUGCCUUAUGAUCAAUAGUAGCCGUGACAGGUGGUAAAGAUGGCUGAAAUCCAUUUGGGCCUUCUACUGAACACGAGACAGUGGAGUCUCGCUAGGGUAACCUAUAGUCAGCCUGGAUGCUCUGAUACCAUUCGAUGUGGCACCCUGCGUGAUUACCACUGUAGCCAGACGGUCGCCGCGCAUACCAGCCGAGGAAAUCACUCUGGCAUGCACGUUUACAACAAGUAUCAUUAACACAGGCAUUUCUAUUAAUGGAUAUAAUAUUCUUACAUGGUAUAUUACAAGGGUGGUGGCAGCGGAAAAGCUCAAUCUAAGGCAGCACGGUCUUGGUGCGGCUCCAAUCCACACGGAUCUGACUCGGUUACGCUCCUAGCCCGCAAACGCUCCAGUUCCUCGUUGACGUACGACGGAUCCUUAUAUGAACCUGGCCAUGUUAAAAGCCGCUGAGUACUUUUGAAUGUACUCGCAAGCAAACCAAACUAACAUAUACACUAAGCAAAGCAAUCCAUGGCAUUCAAGCAUGCAUUUGUUAUUAGAGCAAUAUUAAUCAUUAUGACAUAGCAUACUUAUCUAGCAAUAUUAUUUAUCAAGGUAUAACAGGAUUAUCCAACAAGAUAACUUCUAAAAUAAAUACGAUAAAGUAAAGCAUAUUAAGUAAAUGAUUUAUACUCCGAAUAUUCUUAUGGUCCUGUGUGAAUCCGAUGCAAAUCCAACCCAACUCAUGUGGUCAUCCGACCACUCAUCUCAUAGCCAUCCCAAGGCUAACAUAUCAUAUUCCUGACAUCAUCAGAUGUCUGCACAAGACGAGUUCUUCCAUCAUUAUUAUCACUGAUACGGUUGACCACCUAUUGAGGUCUGGUCGGGCUGUCCAAUACCGUGGACUUGGCUAUUCGAAUAGGUUUGACACUCUGCAGAGGUUGCACACUUUACCCACACCAUGGAGCACUCACCUUGUGAUCCCAUUCGGGUGGACCAGUGUUGCUCCAACGAAACCUGUCUGACCCAUGACUCUUUCAUCGUACCACCGGCAUUCAUCCUCCCCCAGAGUCCUGCCGUGUGUGGCCCUGUGUCCUCAUGACACCUGCCACCGUCGUGGCAAAACUAAAAUGUCCCAAACAAGGACGCCAGCACAAUACUCAACUGGCUCACAGGGUUAUCACCACCUACCGGGCCAAGGUAGCACGCGUGCAUAACCCUCCCUCUUUGGAGGUACUGAUGAAAGAGCACACAAUCAAACCAAAUCAAGGCCGUCCCAUAUCGGCAAAUGUGGUUGCAUUGAUGAGCCCGGACAGGUGACUCUAGAUCAACCGACUAGAUUUGGUUUUAGCAACAUAUUUAUCAAGCAUGGUUGUUCAUCAAGAGUAACUUAACAUGAUGAUAACUAUGUAUGAAACAGCAAUGGUAGAAACACCACAACCUAUCUCCUUAUCACCAUGAGUCAUUAAUACGACGGGGUGUAAAUGGCAAGUUAUUACUUUACAAGUUCUAGGUGUAAAUUAGACCCUCGGAACCCUUGUAUAACACUGGCAAAAAAAUCGGUAGCCACCAGAACGGUCUUUACAAGAAUAACUCAACCCUGGCUCAAGACGGCUGGAAAACAGCUCAGAGCAGGAGACGGUGUUGACAAGAAGAAUGUAGGAGUUCCCUAAGACGACCGAGGAACAGCUCAGAGCAUAGGGUCACUGCCACAGAAAGAAAUUCAAUAGCUGCCCGUGACGGCCGAAAGCAUCUCAGAAUAUGGUCCAGCUGCUGACAAGAGAAAUAUAAAGUCGGCAUCCACCCCGGAGGGCCCAAAGCAGCUCAGACUUAGGCGUGGUGCCUCAUUGAAGAAAGUGCGAGCAAGGGUUCGUCAGCAUCUCAUACAGCUCACUACUAUGCAUACAGACAUAAGCAUUUUAGUUUGAGUAUGCAAGAAUUUCACAGAGCAAAGUUUGAGGGCAUAUAUUAGAUGGUCGGCUUGCGUGGGGUUGAAGAAUACUCCCGGAAGAAGUGCGGAGAGUCCGCGGAACGAGAUGCCGGAACGGUUCUCUCUUGGAGAGGGCUGAUACAAGGGCAAGGGCAACAGGCUCAUUUUCAGAAUGUGAACACAUAAUUAAAAUGAUACCAACAUGAAGGGCUCGACGAGACGAAGAUGUGGGCUUUGGAAUCACCUCAAUCGGAGACCGGAGCAAAAAGAUAUAAACGUUCGAAGAAGAAGGACCAAUCUGCAAUUAAAAUAAUUGCCAUCGGGUCCGUUGGCGCCUUCUGAGAUAUAUGUUUCCCAGAGGGGGAAACGCACCGGGCGCCUAGCGCCUCCACUUAUCCAGCUGGACCGGCCCUUAGUCGUUGACACGCGGGUUCCACCCCAUCCUCUCUCUCCUCCCGUUCUCUUUCUUCUUUCCCUCGACACGAGCAGGGGAGGCGAGCAGAGGUGCGGUCGGCGUCGGGCUCCGGCGACUCGGGCGGACUCCGGCAAGGGCGAGGCCAUGGACGGGUGCGCUGGCGAGCGCCGCGUCCGUUGGGGAGUCACACGGGCAGCAGGGGGCCUGUGGGCUCGGCGACGUGCAGCGGCACAGGCUCGCCUUCGACGCAACUCCGUCGACCUAGGGGUCCUCUGGAGCGGCCGAAUGGGUUGGCAGACUCACCAGGGGAUGGCGCGUCCGCGGAAAUGCUCGGACGGAGCCAGGGACAGCCGGACUUGGGGAUUGGAGGCGGAGGCCGGCGGCCAUGGCGGCGAAGAGAGCUUGGGGCGCUCGGAUAAAGCGGUGGAUGGGG
Molecule: long non-coding RNA, 2778 nt
Filed under: Hordeum vulgare
Lineage: Eukaryota; Viridiplantae; Streptophyta; Magnoliopsida; Poales; Poaceae
Description: long non-coding RNA (HVUL_LNC001900)
Source: RNAcentral